AAUAAUCAAAUACCCAUGAACAUAUAAAUUAAAAAUAAACAAUUAAAACGAUCUCACAGUUAUGGUGCUCCGAUCCUUGAUUUAUUCCUCAACUAGAUAAAAGAACUAGCCUUGCUGCAUAAUCAUUAUGCGAUUCCAAGCUUCCAAGUAAUUUUGUCUAUGAAGAAGUAAAAGGGUGCGGCGGCUUGUCUAAAGCUUGCGUGGAGAAGUAAAAGGAAAAAAAAAACAAAAGAAUCAAAAGAUCCCCUAGUCUAUUGUAAUCCCCCCAAUUUGUAGUGCUGUCCGCCGUCCUUUUUGCUAGCCAAAAUAAGAAGUUGUUUCUCAAACGAAUUAUUUCCUUAAUUCCCUCAUUGGAUUGUUGCCAAAAGUCCUCUUUGGAAAAACUUCCUGAUCCCACGUAGCUACCAUCACUUUCCAAGAAUUGCGGUAGCCUCCAAGGAGUAGGAUCGCAUACUCCGUCCUUAUCACGCAGCUCCGCGUUAUCUGGCGUGGGCACGCCUUAGAAGCAAGAGUCUUCUGGAUUUUGCCUCCCUUUUGUCACUUUCAACACUAAUUGCCUGUAAUUAACACAAAUACUAAUUAUGAGCAGAAAUCCAAUACUUUGCAUACUAAACUGCCAAAAUUAAGACCAAAUAACCACAAAUAAAAUGCAUAAUUAUAUCCCUAUCAAAUUCCCCCACACCAAGACAAUGCUUGUCCUCAAGCGUUUCAAACUUUAAAUACACAACCCAGCGAGCAAACAUUUUUGCAGCAGUUGAAUUCAAAACAAUGGCUAUUAAUCAAAGCAACUAUUGCCAAUGUAUGAUUUAGAUAACUGUCAAGUACUAAUGACAAAUUUUACGAGAUAACUCUCCAACUAGCUUUUAAAACCAAUGACUCUUUCAAAUCCAGACUAACUAAUCUAAGAAUAGAAAAUAUCCAACCAACAUUCUUUAAUAACUGGUCUAACUAUUAAGCAAAAUCUCAACAUAAAGACUCUUGGAUCCGCAGGCAAUACAAUUAUUCACAUACUUUCAUGCUCGUAUACUUUUUCUUUCUUUUUUUUCUUUUUUUUUUCAUCAUUUUCAUUUUUUUUUUCUGUUUCUUUUUCCUCUUUUUUUUUUCUUGAAGGAAGUGCUAAGUCUUGAGCCAUUCAAGUCUUUUGACGCGAACUCCGACAUCUCUCCAAUGAAGGAGCUCGAUUACUCAACUUUAACCGCUUAAAGACCACAUACUCAUAGUUAUCGCUGCUUUUUGACGCGAAAAUCGACACUUUAGGUGAAGACCCCCGAUUACUAGUCAAUGAUAACCAGCGGAGUAUAGCCGAAUGUUAUUCACAAAUAAACACCCAAGUAAAAUUAAAACCAUGCAAGCCUGCUUCAUUUCCUUAACAUGGAGAACUAAGAUUAAUAGUUGAACCAGUUCACACAAAAAUGUCAGAAAAUAUUUACAAUGCCUAGAAAAGUUAACCAAAAGAAAUUGCAAGAGUCACAAAAUCUCAAAUAUUUACCAGAGAGACAUCCUAAAAUGUUAUCAUAUCAUACUUAACAUAUUAUCAUCUAAAACCGUAACAAUAGUUAAAUUUGAAAAUCUAGCCAUUGCUUAUCAGGGCUAACCAUAAAAAUCCAAAAGACAUGGUAAAGGUUUUUUUUUUUUUUUUUUUUUUGGAAGAAAGAAAGCAAUAAGAAGGAAAAACUAGACUACUCCCCCCCCCACACCUAAACUCUACAUUGUCCUCAAUGUAAGAACGAAAAGUUGAAGUCAAGUGAAGGGAGCAAAAAAAACCUUCCCUGAAUGAAUAAAACUGCAGCAAAACACCUGUCGCGCCCCAUUUUUUGUGAUGGAAAAUAUAAGUAUAAAAAUAGGUAUUUACAAAAUAUGUAAUUUUAUUUUAAAAUAAAUGAAAAGGACCUAAAAUGGGACUUUAAAAAAUGCGACAAUUUGGGUCCAAAUAUUUAGUCUAAAAAGGGUUUUCAAGAAAAAGGGGAGUCGCCACUUGGUAUUGAGUUUGGGUGUACCAAGUCACCCAAAAAGUGUAUUUAAAUAAAAUAAAAUAAAACCCUUUUCGACAACUCCAGAUCUUUGAAAAAUAAGAGAAAAUGGAUUCGGGAGUCACGGUUGAAGAAAGGGAAGGCAAAUGUUCGAUUAACUCAAACCAAAGGCACCCUUUCAACCUAGUCUAAGCUAGUUGCGAGGUUUAGGCAAAAUUUUUCUAAUCUAACCCUUAAUUUUAUCAUAUUUGGAUAUUUUCUACAUGGAUGCAAAUCUAAAUUUAUAAAAUACCGAAAGGGUCAAAAUAUCCAUUCAAGGGUUUAAUCGAACCAAUCGCAUUAAUUGCGAAGGCCACAAUGAUUCCUUGAAAGUGUCACGAAUAUGCGAAUGAUGAAAUUAAAAGAAAAGAAAAGAAAUUAAAUUAUAUACAUAUAUAAAUGAUCAAAGAAAAAGGGAAUGCAACAUAAAGGGUACGGGAAGGCAAAAACUCGUGACCUAAUUUUCUUAUACAAGGAUUAAUGGGAUGUUUAAACUAAAAAGUUAUAAUCACCCAUUUCUCAUGUUUGAAAAUAAUUAUCCUAACAUGAACAAGUAAAUGAACUAACUUAAAUGAGAUGCGAUUCUAAAUGACAUGCUUAGUACCUAUAGAGGGUAAGAGAUAAUAUAAUAGGGAAUAUCAUGCAAAUGAGAAAAGAUCCUAAAAAUGAAAAUAUGCAUGAAAAUGUAGUGAAUAGCACACAAAGAUGAAUAUAGCACAAGACAACCUAAAGGGUCUAGCGUUGGACUAGCCCAUUUCUAAAAAUCCUUACUAGCGUUGGACUAGCAAGUAAGCGGAGGGAGAAGCCACAACUAGCGUUGGACUAGUGUGGUGACGUCAUGCAUUAACAAUUCAUAGUAAAUCAAAUAAAGCAUAAAUUAAAACAAAUAAACACAUAAGAGCACGUAGCACAUAACACGUAAACAUAAUAUCUAGAUGCUAAAAUCCUAAGAAAAGCGGAUAAAACACAUAACACAUAAACCACAUAAACACGCAACCUAUCUAUUACAUCGGGGAGCGCCUAACUACAAUCUAGAAGGGAAAAAUAUAAUAAAACAAAUCUAAUUAUCCUAUCUAUUGCAUUUUUGAGGUUUUUAAAUGCCUCUUGAAUCAUUGUAAAAAAUUAACUAAAACAUAUAUAAGAAAAUUUGAAUGAAUAUUUAAAUCAAAUAAAUAAAGCAUAUAAAGAUAUAUAAACACAUAGGAACACAUAGGAGCACAUAAGAGCACGUAAUUGACAUUGAAAUAAUAAAAUAGGAGUACCUCCCGUUUGAAGUGGUGACUAAAUGGAGUCAAAUUGUCCUAUUUAUACUCACAAUGAACAAAAGGAUCAUGACACCAAUUUAAUUGAAAAAGAAAAUAAUAAUACAAGCACUAAAUUCACAUUAAUAUGUCAGACGUAAAGAAAUUUAAGCAAAUCUAAAAAUUACAAGUUAAGUAUAUGUUCAAAAGUAACAUAAUUAGUUAUUGAAGAAAAGAAACAAUCAUAAUAAAGAGAGCCAAAAUUUGUCAAGGGCUGAAUUGCAAAAAUUGAAAACUUUUGGGGGACAAAAAUUAUAUUUUCAAAGUUCAGGGGUUAAAAUUAAAUGAAAGAUAAAAUUCAAGGACCAACGUGAAAUUAAUUUAAGGACCUAGAUGAAAGGAAUCUAAAAUGUUCUGGACCACAGUAAAAAUACUUGAAAGCUCAGGGACUGAUAUGCGAAAACGUUUUCUUAUUCCUUAACAAAUCAGGCCACUGGGCCAUCAUUUUAUUUACUUCUGGGCCAAAAACUACCUAAGCCCAGCCGAAAAUCCAGAGAAACGAGCAGGCCAGCCCGUCAUUGUAUCACUCAAACCCGACCCAGAAAUGCAUGGGUUCUAAACCUCCGGCCCAACCGAAACCCAAAAGAAAUAAAACGAAAGCCCAACUAAAGAAAUAUAACAAGCCCACCCGAAAAUAAAAACAUUAGCCCAAACCAUUUGUUUUUCUCCUUUUCUUUCCUUUCUUUUCUUCUUUUUUUUCUUUCUUCCUAAUCCACCUUCAGCCGUUUCUUUUUCCUUCUUCUUCGACCAGCUGAGGAAGCUUCAGCUGGCGGCCAUGGCGGACGCCGGUGGCGCCGCCGCCACCGGACCGCCGUCGCCGGUGGUCGCCGGCGACCUCUCCGGUCACCGAAUUUUUCCAAAAUACACUCCCUCACUCGAUUUUUCGUGUAGGUUCCAUUUUCGGAGUUAUUUUUUACAAAAAAGGAAAGAAAAGUGGUCAAAGGGCCAAAAAACAGUCCAGUUUUUAUUUUUUCAAACACUCAAAUCUUCACCAAAAAAACAUAAAAUUUAUGCCAAAACACUCCUUACAACUUCUACAAUACAACCAUGAUUUUAAUUUGACAAGAAAACAACAUAAAAAGGAUACAAUAAAGCAAAACAGCCCCUAAAUUUCCUUUUUUUCAUUUUGGCAUUUUCGCAAGCACUUGACAUGCAUCCAUGGGCCCGUUUCUUUUUCCUUAAUUCUAGUUAUGCCAUUCCCAAAUUCAGCAACCCAACAACAUAAUGACAACAUAAACCAGCAAGAAAAGAAACAAAGCUAACGUCUACACAUGAUUAUAGUAUAACGAAUUAGAAAAUAAAAAGCUGGAAAAAGAAGAGAAAAUGAAAGGAGAUACCUCAAUGAAUAUGAAAAUCUUUCGGUUGAAGCUUGAUGAAAUUUCCAAGCCUUGACCGAUAGCUGCCUUUUCUUUUUUUUUUUGUGUUUGGAUUUUGUGGGAGAAAAUGUAUAGAGAGAGCCCUUUUUGUUGUUCCUCUUGUCUUCUUUCUUCUGCCCAAAUUCGAGAGAGGAAGAGAGUGAGGAGUGGAAAGUGCUUCUUUUUUUUCUUGUCUCUGACUUCCAAGAAAGAGCCGAGAGAGUGAGGGAGAUCCCCUGCUUUUCUUCCUCUCCUUCUGUUUUUGUUUUUUUGUUUCUUGUCCUCUGUCUGAGCUGAGAGAACAGAUUUUUUUGAGCCCCAAAAAGUCCUUUCUUGUCACUCCUCUCCCUUCGAGAGAGUGAAUUGAGGGAGUGUGUUUUGUAUGUUGUGUGCA
RNAcentral lists this long non-coding RNA (5059 nucleotides) under Coffea arabica (coffee). RNAcentral's name for it is "long non-coding RNA (CARA_LNC002637)". Lineage: Eukaryota; Viridiplantae; Streptophyta; Magnoliopsida; Gentianales; Rubiaceae. The record is from RNAcentral.